RNAcentral lists this ribosomal RNA (253 nucleotides) under uncultured bacterium. Its description in RNAcentral is "partial 16S ribosomal RNA". It matches the Rfam family "Bacterial small subunit ribosomal RNA", at positions 524 to 776 of the family's 1533-position model. The record is from RNAcentral.
UACGAGUGCUCCAAGCGUUAUCCGGAAUCAUUGGGCGUAAAGGGUGUGUAGGCGGCUGUGUUAGUCUUCCGUUAAAUUCUUCGGCUUAACCGGGGGCAUGCGGAAGAAACGGCACAACUAGAGGAUGCGAGAGGUGAAUAGAACUCAUGGAGUAGGGGUGAAAUCCGUUGAUAUCAUGGGGAAUACCAAAAGCGAAGGCAAUUCACUGGCGCACUCCUGACGCUGAAACACGAAAGCGUAGGUAGCGAAUGGG